This 405-nucleotide ribosomal RNA is filed under the name uncultured bacterium. RNAcentral describes it as "partial 16S ribosomal RNA". It matches the Rfam family "Bacterial small subunit ribosomal RNA", at positions 30 to 526 of the family's 1533-position model. The record is from RNAcentral.
AUUGAACGCUGGCGGCAGGCCUAACACAUGCAAGUCGAGCGAGCGGCGGACGGGUGAGUAAUGUAUGGGGAUCUGCCCGAUAGAGGGGGAUAACUACUGGAACCGUGGCUAAAUCCGCAUACUAUCGGAUUACCCCCUUUGGGAUUAGCUAGUAGGUGGGGUAAAGGCUCACCUAGGCGACGAGCUCUAGCUGGUCUGAGAGGAUGAUCAGCCACACUGGGACUGAGACACGGCCCAGACUCCUACGGGAGGCAGCAGUGGGGAAUAUUGCACAAUGGGCGCAAGCCUGAUGCAGCCAUGCCGCGUGUAUGAAGAAGGCCUUAGGGUUGUAAAGUACUUUCAGCGGGGAGGCGUUACCCGCAGAAGAAGCACCGGCUAACUCCGUGCCAGCCGCCGCGGUAAUAC